Molecule: ribosomal RNA, 301 nt
Filed under: uncultured Bacillus sp.
Lineage: Bacteria; Bacillati; Bacillota; Bacilli; Caryophanales; Bacillaceae
Description: bacterial SSU rRNA
Rfam family: Bacterial small subunit ribosomal RNA (bases 52-301)
Source: RNAcentral
UAGAAGUGGGGGGGAGGAGCCGGGGAAGUCGUGUGGGAGGGGGCGGUGUGUGGAUGUAGGGGGUGGAAAGAUCUAGUCGGGGGCUGUGCGAGUCGGAGGGGAAAACUCCGGGGUGAACCUGGAGACGCCUGCCGAUACGGCUGUGGCUGGAGUCCGGUAGGGGACCAGGGAUGACCUGGUGUAGCGGUGAAAUGCGCAGAUAUCAGGUGGAACACCGGUGGCGAAGGCGGUGGUCUGGGCCGUAACUGACGCUGAGGAGCGAAAGCGUGGGGAGCGAACAGGAUUAGAUACCCCUGUAGUC